This 1067-nucleotide long non-coding RNA is filed under the name Homo sapiens (human). Its description in RNAcentral is "HSALNT0196048". Lineage: Eukaryota; Metazoa; Chordata; Mammalia; Primates; Hominidae. The record is from RNAcentral.
CCUUCCCUUUCCUGUCUCACUUCCCCACUCCUCUUCCUGGGUCGCCUCCCAAACAAACUACUUGGACCUGAAUCUCGUCCAGCCUUAUGUUCUGGUGUUAAAGAGUCUGUCUGGAAUUUACCCUGAGAACAAUAGCAGGCUUUACCUUCCUCUGAUAAUUGGCAAAAGGUUCUGAAGCUCCCAGGCCAUCUGGAGUCCUUGUAAACUAGCAUACCUACAGCUGUACAAGCCAUAUUUUGAUAGCCCCCUGUAGCUAAUGGCUACCAUAUUGAACAGCAAAGAUAUACGGUACUUACCCAGCAGUAUAGAAAGCUCAACCGGACAGUGCUACAACAGUUGCAGGCAUUUUGUUGUCUGAAGUUUGUUAUUUCUCUGGAAGAGAUCAUGGGAAUAAUAGCACCUGAGGUCUUCUGUCACAGCAUGGCACGUCAGGGUCUUCUCUACCCAAAUAAUGUUCUUUGUUGGUGUAUAGAACUGCUACUAGCCUGGGCAACAUGGUGAGACCCCAUCUUAUCUCUACAACAUUUAAAAAAAAUCUAGCCAGGUAUGCACCUGUGGUCCCAGCUACUUGGGAGGCUGAAGUGAGAGGAUCGCUUAGGUCCAAGAGAUCAAGGCUGCAGUGAGCCAUGUUCGUGCCACUGCACUCCAGCCUGGGCAACCCAGUGAGACUGUCUAAAAAAAAAUUAGAAAUGCCACUGAUUUUUGUAUGUUGAUUUUGUAUUCUGCAACUUUACUAAUUUGUUUAUCAGUUCUAACAGUUUUUUCGUAGAGUUUUUAGAUUUUUCCAGGUAUAAGACGUGUCAUCUGUGAACAAGGCUUAUUUGACUUCUUCCUUUCAAAUUUGGAUGCCCUUUAUUUCUUGUUCUUGCCUAAUUGCUCUGUCCAGGACUUCCAGUAUUAUGUUGAAUAAAGUGGUGAAAGUGAGCAUCCUUGUCUUAUUCCAGUUCUUAGAGGAAAGACCUUCCAUUUAUCCUCAUUCAGUACAAUGUUAGCUAUGGGUUUGUCAUACAUGGCUUUCAUUUUUUUUGAGCUAUGUUAUUUCUAUAACCAUUUUGAUGAGGGUUUUU